GAUGAACGCUAGCUACAGGCUUAACACAUGCAAGUCGAGGGGCAGCAUUUUAGUUUGCUUGCAAACUAAAGAUGGCGACCGGCGCACGGGUGAGUAACACGUAUCCAACCUGCCGAUAACUCGGGGAUAGCCUUUCGAAAGAAAGAUUAAUAUCCGAUAGUAUAUUAAAACCGCAUGGUUUUACUAUUAAAGAAUUUCGGUUAUCGAUGGGGAUGCGUUCCAUUAGUUUGUUGGCGGGGUAACGGCCCACCAAGACUACGAUGGAUAGGGGUUCUGAGAGGAAGGUCCCCCACAUUGGAACUGAGACACGGUCCAAACUCCUACGGGAGGCAGCAGUGAGGAAUAUUGGUCAAUGGACGAGAGUCUGAACCAGCCAAGUAGCGUGAAGGAUGACUGCCCUAUGGGUUGUAAACUUCUUUUAUAUGGGAAUAAAGUAUUCCACGUGUGGGAUUUUGUAUGUACCAUAUGAAUAAGGAUCGGCUAACUCCGUG
Molecule: ribosomal RNA, 491 nt
Filed under: uncultured bacterium
Lineage: Bacteria
Description: bacterial SSU rRNA
Rfam family: Bacterial small subunit ribosomal RNA
Source: RNAcentral